CUACUGUGUGGGCUGGGGGACAGCCACAGCCAUCCCUCCCAGCCGCAGUCCCGGCGGAUCCUCACUUGCCCGAGGGCUACGUGAGGACUAGGCCCAGUCGCCAGCUCAGAGGACACUCGAUCUCCUGCCCCCUGGGACUGACACCAUCAUCCCAAGGUGAUCCCCAGCCCCAGCCCUGGCAGGCUCAGCGCUGGCGCAGUGGGCCAGGACUGAGCUAGAAACUGGCAGCUCCCAGGGCACACAGCCAGGCCAACUUCCCACACAGGGCUCCGCCCCCUCACUUCGGGGCAGGGGUCCAGGCAGAAUCAGGGAUGUUGAGUCAUUCUUCCUUUUAUGCCCAGAGUUCCUGACCCACCCCCACUCUGCACCUAGCACAAUCAGAACAUUUCACUCAAGACAGAAAACGUGAAAUGUCACACUAGUGGGGCACCCAGGCUGGGUUGUGCACCCUGUGUGCCACCAUAUAUUUCUCACCUAAAGGUGGGGGCAUCGCUGUGGACAAAGAGAAACCCAAGGGGACAAUCUGGGAUGUUCCCAGUAGUUUCCCAGGCUAGGGUGUUAGAACAGGGAGAGGAAGGCCUGGGUCUCCAAUAAGCCCCCAUCACCUCCU
This 610-nucleotide long non-coding RNA is filed under the name Homo sapiens (human). RNAcentral's name for it is "HSALNT0054202". Lineage: Eukaryota; Metazoa; Chordata; Mammalia; Primates; Hominidae. The record is from RNAcentral.